Molecule: long non-coding RNA, 413 nt
Filed under: Monodelphis domestica (gray short-tailed opossum)
Lineage: Eukaryota; Metazoa; Chordata; Mammalia; Didelphimorphia; Didelphidae
Description: lncRNA (ENSMODG00000049126.1)
Source: RNAcentral
GUCCAAAUGGCAAGAUAGGAGUAGAUGUAGGGGAGGAAUCAGAGAAUCCUUCCCAUAGGAGGUAGAAUUUGAAUUGUAUUUUAAAGGGUGGAAUUAAAUUUAAAAGAUAGCAGGAAUGAUUAAGAAAGUUCAGGAAUAGGGAAGGUUAUGGGAGCAAACAUAUUGGAGCUAUGAAGAUAAGGAAAAUUGAGCCAGAGAGGUGAAGCAACUUUUCCAUGAUUAUACAACAGGAUGCUGGUGAUGUAUUGAAUAGAAGUUCUUUCUCUGGAUGUGGAUAGCGUUGUUUCACAGAAGUCCCAUUGGGUGGUUCUGGAUCAUUGCAUUGCUGAUUUGAGAAAAGUCCUUUACAUUUUAUUGUACUACAGUGUUUCAGUUGUUGUGUACAAUGUUCUCCUGGUUCUGCUCUUUUCACU